GGCUGUAACUGACACUGAGGAGCGAAAGCAUGGGGAGCGAACAGGAUUAGAUACCCUGGUAGUCCAUGCCGUAAACGUUGGGCACUAGGUGUGGGGGACAUUCCACGGUCUCCGUGACGCAGCUAACGCAUUAAGUUCCCCGCCUGGGGAGUACGGCCGCAAGGCUAAAACUCAAAGGAAUUGACGGGGACCCGCACAAGCGGCGGAGCAUGCGGAUUAAUUCGAUGCAACGCGAAGAACCUUACCAAGGCUUGACAUACACCGGAAACGUCCAGAGAUGGUCGCCCCUUUUUGGUCGGUGUACAGGUGGUGCAUGGUUGUCGUCAGCUCGUGUCGUGAGAUGUUGGGUUAAGUCCCGCAACGAGCGCAACCCUCGUUCUAUGUUGCCAGCACGUUAUGGUGGGAACUCAUGGGAUACUGCCGGGGUCAACUCGGAGGAAGGUGGGGAUGACGUCAAAUCAUCAUGCCCCUUAUGUCUUGGGCUUCACGCAUGCUACAAUGGCCGGUACAAUGGGCUGCGAUACCGUGAGGUGGAGCGAAUCCCAAAAAGCCGGUCCCAGUUCGGAUCGUAGUCUGCAACUCGACUACGUGAAGUCGGAGUCGCUAGUAAUCGCAGAUCAGCAACGCUGCGGUGAAUACGUUCCCGGGUCUUGUACACAC
Molecule: ribosomal RNA, 660 nt
Filed under: uncultured bacterium
Lineage: Bacteria
Description: bacterial SSU rRNA
Rfam family: Bacterial small subunit ribosomal RNA
Source: RNAcentral